AAGUCGUAACAAGGUUUCCGUAGGUGAACCUGCGGAAGGAUCAUCGUUGUCCGUUGGGGGGAUUUGUGGGGUGUGGCAUGUAACUUUUGGAACCCAACCAAAGAGGAGAGGAGUUGACUGAGGGUUGUUUGUGGAGAAAGAAAAAGGACAAAACUUUCAACAACGGAUCUCUUGGCUCUCA
RNAcentral lists this unclassified non-coding RNA (181 nucleotides) under fungal sp. Its description in RNAcentral is "partial internal transcribed spacer region". The stretch from base 1 to 46 matches the Rfam family "Eukaryotic small subunit ribosomal RNA", at positions 1786 to 1831 of the family's 1831-position model. The record is from RNAcentral. Lineage: Eukaryota; Fungi.